RNAcentral lists this ribosomal RNA (492 nucleotides) under uncultured bacterium. Its description in RNAcentral is "partial 16S ribosomal RNA". It matches the Rfam family "Bacterial small subunit ribosomal RNA", at positions 29 to 507 of the family's 1533-position model. The record is from RNAcentral.
AGUGAACGCUGGCGGUAGGCCUAACACAUGCAAGUCGAACGGCAGCACAGUAAGAGCUUGCUCUUACGGGUGGCGAGUGGCGGACGGGUGAGGAAUACAUCGGAAUCUACUUUUUCGUGGGGGAUAACGUAGGGAAACUUACGCUAAUACCGCAUACGACCUACGGGUGAAAGCAGGGGAUCUUCGGGCCUUGCGCGAUUGAUUGAGCCGAUGUCGGAUUAGCUAGUUGGCGGGGUAAAGGCCCACCAAGGCGACGAUCCGUAGCUGGUCUGAGAGGAUGAUCAGCCACACUGGAACUGAGACACGGUCCAGACUCCUACGGGAGGCAGCAGUGGGGAAUAUUGCACAAUGGGCGCAAGCCUGAUCCAGCCAUACCGCGUGGGUGAAGAAGGCCUUCGGGUUGUAAAGCCCUUUUGUUGGGAAAGAAAAGCAGCAGGUUAAUACCCCGCUGUUCUGACGGUACCCAAAGAAUAAGCACCGGCUAACUUCGUG